This is a long non-coding RNA of Pogoniulus pusillus (Red-fronted tinkerbird), 1523 nucleotides long. RefSeq lists it as uncharacterized. Lineage: Eukaryota; Metazoa; Chordata; Aves; Piciformes; Lybiidae. The transcript has 3 exons. The record is from RefSeq and is a predicted model, not a curated record.
ACAGGUUUACGUUAAAAACAGUUCAUCCAUGAUGUGUGUUUCCUAUGUGAGUGAGUCCUACCUUACUUCUCUGCCUGCAAUUCAGGUUCUACAGGUGGAUCCCAACAAUGCAGAAAACCAGGGCCUGUUCCUUGGAAGUGGGAACUUCUAGAAGACUGACUAGAGGUAUCAGAAGAGUUUUAGCAGUCAAACAGAGAAGUUUUUGGUAGAACAGCUUUUGCUUGUGAAUCAUACAGAGAAUUGGAGACUUCCCUUCUACAUCUUUGAAUGAAGCUGUAGUUGAAUGAGAUGACAUUCUUGCAUGGUUCAGGAAAACAGGAAACCAUUUCUGACAGCCUUCAUAAACCCAAACUCUCCCUUAGUUCAGAUAAUAUUAUACAGUAGAAAAUUAGACUACAAAAUGUUUAUGCCCAGUGCAGAGUUGGUUCAAUGACUUCAAGGAAUGUCUUGUCUGCUGCUAGUUGUAGUCCAGGCAACAGCAGGUGUCAGACACAGGCACCAUAAGCACUGUCAGUGUGUCACUGCUUAUAAUCAAACAGCAGCAGUGGUGCAAAAUGAAUUGGAGAUAAACAGUACCUUGGGUGUCCUGUUCCAUGUGUUAUGCUAAAAACAACGUGGAUAAGCACACAAAAUAUAUAUGCUGCUUCUGCCACAUAACUGGGAAUGGAUAUUAUCCAUGGUCUUGCUAGACACUAUUUUGGAGUAUAAACUUGAAACUAUACAUCUCUUUCAACAUCAUUGAUGAUUAAAGAAAGCAGAUAGAUGAUUUUAUCAUCUUGAUAAUACAUAGAAGGUUCCCUCUGACAUGACUCCAUGCAUGACAAUUUAUACCACUGAGAUACCUUUUGGCAGUACUUGAGCGAGGAUUGCAGUAUUGUGGCAAGUGUGAAAGAAAGGGAAAUGCAGAAAAUAAGCAACUUUCAAAUCCAAUUGGCAUUAACUUGUUGGGUAUGUAGAGGUCUACAAGAGGGCUAUCUGAUGACCAUGAACAAUGCACGCAGCUCUGAGAAUGAACAUGCUUUUGCCAUUUCCAUAGAUGGUAAUACAGAGAUGUUACCAGGAACUUCCAGACCAUAACAGUGAUGACUGCUUUAUCAUUACACUUUUAAGAGCCUCUCUCUGUUCAUUACAAGGUAGAUCCAGACCCACAUUUGAUCAAACAUCAUGUCAUUUUGGAAGCCCCCGAAUGACUUCCAGACUGAUAAUUAUCUUUUCUUCUGUUUGUCAACUUUCCUAAGAACUGUCUACCUAAUUUUGAUGUCUCAUACAUGCACAUGAGAACUUGAGCAUUUUACAAAGAAUGUCGACACUGAAUACCCAUAUCAGUGAAACAAACUCAUGAACUUUUCAUUGUCAUGGAAACUGAUACCCAGGUAUCACCACUUCGGAUUCUUUAUGAAAAAAAAAACCUGAAUUCUAAAAUUUUGGUAAUUCAUACAUUGCUAUUCAUCUUAUGUUUCAGAUUGUAUUUAAUAACAACUAUUUUUUUGAUGAAACCUCUCUACAGAGGUACUUGUAACAUU